This 253-nucleotide ribosomal RNA is filed under the name uncultured bacterium. Its description in RNAcentral is "partial 16S ribosomal RNA". It matches the Rfam family "Bacterial small subunit ribosomal RNA", at positions 524 to 776 of the family's 1533-position model. The record is from RNAcentral.
UACGGAGGGUGCAAACGUUGCUCGGAAUUACUGGGCGUAAAGCGCACGUAGGCGGCCAUUCAAGUCAGAGGUGAAAGCCCAGGGCUCAACCCUGGAACUGCCUUUGAAACUAGAUGGCUAGAAUCCUGGAGAGGCGAGUGGAAUUCCGAGUGUAGAGGUGAAAUUCGUAGAUAUUCGGAAGAACACCAGUGGCGAAGGCGACUCGCUGGACAGGUAUUGACGCUGAGGUGCGAAAGCGUGGGGAGCAAACAGG